This 420-nucleotide ribosomal RNA is filed under the name uncultured bacterium. RNAcentral describes it as "bacterial SSU rRNA". It matches the Rfam family "Bacterial small subunit ribosomal RNA", at positions 554 to 972 of the family's 1533-position model. The record is from RNAcentral.
UUGGGCGUAAAGCGCGCGCAGGCGGUUUCUUAAGUCUGAUGUGAAAGCCCACGGCUUAACCGUGGAGGGUCAUUGGAAACUGGGAGACUUGAGUGCAGAAGAGGAAAGUGGAAUUCCAAGUGUAGCGGUGAAAUGCGUAGAGAUUUGGAGGAACACCAGUGGCGAAGGCGACUUUCUGGUCUGCAACUGACGCUGAGGCGCGAAAGCAUGGGGAGCAAACAGGAUUAGAUACCCUGGUAGUCCAUGCCGUAAACGAUGAGUGCUAAGUGUUAGGGGGUUUCCGCCCCUUAGUGCUGCAGCUAACGCAUUAAGCACUCCGCCUGGGGAGUACGACCGCAAGGUUGAAACUCAAAGGAAUUGACGGGGGCCCGCACAAGCGGUGGAGCAUGUGGUUUAAUUCGAAGCAACGCGAAGAACCUA